CGGUGUUUAACUGGCGUGAUGUGGGACGUCCUACCGGUGGGCUUAGCCUCGCGAGGGGCGGCCCAACUAAUAUCCCGUCGCGGUGCUCUUUACUGAGUGUCGAGUCGGGCCGGUACGUUUACUUUGAACAAAUUAGAGUGCUUAAAGCAGGCUAUCCUCGCCUGAAUACUGCGUGCAUGGAAUAAUGGAAUAGGACCUCGGUUCUAUUUUGUUGGUUUUCGGAACCCCGAGGUAAUGAUUAAUAGGGACAGAUGGGGGCAUUCGUAUUGCGACGUUAGAGGUGAAAUUCUUGGAUCGUCGCAAGACGGACAGAAGCGAAAGCAUUUGCCAAAAAUGUUUUCAUUAAUCAAGAACGAAAGUUAGAGGUUCGAAGGCGAUCAGAUACCGCCCUAGUUCUAACCAUAAACGAUGCCAGCUAGCGAUCCGCCGAAGUUCCUCCGAUGACUCGGCGGGCAGCUUCCGGGAAACCAAAGCUCUUGGGUUCCGGGGGAAGUAUGGUUGCAAAGCUGAAACUUAAAGGAAUUGACGGAAGGGCACCACCAGGAGUGGAGCCUGCGGCUUAAUUUGACUCAACACGGGAAACCUCACCAGGCCCAGACACCGGAAGGAUUGACAGAUUGAUAGCUCUUUCUUGAUUCGGUGGGUGGUGGUGCAUGGCCGUUCUUAGUUGGUGGAGCGAUUUGUCUGGUUAAUUCCGAUAACGAACGAGACUCUAGCCUGCUAAAUAGGCGUACCUUAUGGUAUCGCGAAGGCCCCCGGCUUCGGCCGGUGGGUUUUUACUACCAACGUACAAACAAAUCUUCUUAGAGGGACAGGCGG
RNAcentral lists this ribosomal RNA (819 nucleotides) under uncultured eukaryote. Its description in RNAcentral is "SSU rRNA". It matches the Rfam family "Eukaryotic small subunit ribosomal RNA", at positions 629 to 1426 of the family's 1831-position model. The record is from RNAcentral.